This 1249-nucleotide long non-coding RNA is filed under the name Nicotiana benthamiana. Its description in RNAcentral is "long non-coding RNA (NBEN_LNC018533)". Lineage: Eukaryota; Viridiplantae; Streptophyta; Magnoliopsida; Solanales; Solanaceae. The record is from RNAcentral.
GGCAAUAAAACCAAUUUGAUAAAGAUUGAUUUCUGACCGUAUAGAAGAUAUUAAAAGCAUAGAGUAAAUUAUUGAAUCUAAGUACAAAAUAUACUUAAUUUAGGGAAGGAUUCAUAGUGAAAUAUCAAAGAAAAUAAAGGACAUAAUCAAUCAUUUAAACAAGCGAUUAAAAUUAGGAUUUAUAAGAAAACCUUGUAAUUAAAAUGUCACUAAAGGAAAUCAAGAUCAAUCAAGAAGUGGUCAUGAUUCUACACUCCAUCAUAUAAAUAGAAAGGAAUGAACAUAUGUAUUAGACAUGCAGGGUUAAUCAUAUUGACAAAAAAGAGUGAACUAGAUGAACAUAAACACACAUGAGUGACAUGAAUAUGCUAAUGACUAUUCAAAGCAUGGUAAUCAACAAGGUCAAGCAGUCAUAACUCACAUGUAGAACCAAAGUGAAGAAAUCAGUCUAAUAGGUAAAGAAAGUCAGAAACAAGCAAAGAACUCACAGUAAUAAGUGAGGAAAACAUUGUAAGAAAUUUAGGGUUUAUACAAUAGUCUAGUUAAAAUUGGUAAGAACUCAAAAUCAGAUAAGUCAAACAAGAAAAAAGGAUUCAAACACAAAGAACUCAAUCGAACCAAGCAUGCUUAUAAAAUAAACAAAGAUUUUCAACACUCGGAUAAAACCAGAAACACCUAGGGUUUUAACACGAUGAAUCAGAUAGGACAAAAAAAAUAAGCAAAUCACUUAAACAUAGUAAAACAAACAUUGAAAAUUGAAGAAGAGGUCUUUAAAAAGAGUUUACAAAAACCCUAAUUGUUAAAGAUGAAGAGCCGCUUUGAAAAAAUCGGAAAACCUUUGAGGAAAACACUUAAGAGGUUCAUAACAUACAUAUAUCUAAGAUAGAUCUGAAAGAAAAUCAGAAUGACUUUAAAGGAUAUGGUUUUAGAGAACCCAGAAAAGUAAGAAAACUUCGAAAAGUUACCGAUCUAGCCGGAAAAGCUAUGAAUAUGACUUGAUCGACCAUAGAUAGCUGGAACAAAACCAUAGACAGAAGUCGAGAAGGAUUUGGGUAAUAUAUCUUCAAGAUCUUCCCAUAGAACCAUGAAAAAUGGCCACAAGGAGACAUAGGAGAUGAGUACAAAUUUCAAACAGGCAUGAGAGGCCAUGGAUUGGGUAGGUAUUGAAAGGGAUUAUGGUGGAUUUGGAUGGCGGCAGAUAGAGCUUAGGUGAGGUUACAGAGAGAAUUAGAGAGGAAGGGGAUUCAAG